RNAcentral lists this ribosomal RNA (304 nucleotides) under uncultured bacterium. RNAcentral describes it as "bacterial SSU rRNA". It matches the Rfam family "Bacterial small subunit ribosomal RNA", at positions 28 to 335 of the family's 1533-position model. The record is from RNAcentral.
GAUAAACGCUGGCGGCGUGCCUAACACAUGCAAGUCGAACGUCCUCUCUCGCAAGAGAGAGGGAGUGGCGGACGGGUGAGUAACACAUGGGUCACCUACCCUUAAGUGAGGAAUACCGGCGAGAAAUCGCCGACAAGACCGCAUAGGCUCUCUCUUUUGCAAGAGAGAGCAAAGCUUCGCAAGAGGCGCUUGAGGAUGGGCCUGUGGCCGAUUAGCUGGUUGGAGGGUAAUGGCUUACCAAGGCGACGAUCGGUAGCUGGUCUGAGAGGACGAUCAGCCACACUGGGAUUGAGAACGGCCCAGA